RNAcentral lists this long non-coding RNA (324 nucleotides) under Serinus canaria (Common canary). Its description in RNAcentral is "lncRNA (ENSSCAG00000004925.1)". The record is from RNAcentral. Lineage: Eukaryota; Metazoa; Chordata; Aves; Passeriformes; Fringillidae.
CAGGAAGCCAGGCUGGGAGUUGGGAAUUGCAGCUGGGGCUUACAGGGACCUCCCCUUUCUCUGGGAACAAGGGGUUGGCGUUGUGCCACCCUGGUGGACAGCUGCUGGGGCCAGUGGAAAAGCAUUGGGCCUGGAUGUAAAAUUGAAGAGAGAAGAGAGAAGAAAGAGAGAAGAGAGAAGAGAGAGAUAAGUUUAAUGCUGAGCACUUACCACGGGCUUUUACUUCACUGUUUCUCAUCACUGGAGUCAACUGACUACAGCUCUUCUCAAAAGUAGGUUUCUGGUUUCCACAGACAAAGAAAAACCCCAAUCACAAGAAACUAA